UACAGAGGGUGCGAGCGUUGUCCGGAAUCACUGGGCUUAAAGGGCGCGUAGGCGGCAGAUCAAGUCCGGGGUGAAAUCCUCCAGCUCAACUGGAGAAGUGCCUUGGAUACUGAUGUGCUCGAGGGAGGUAGGGGUCCGCGGAACUUCUGGUGGAGCGGUGAAAUGCGUUGAUAUCAGAAGGAACGCCGGUGGCGAAAGCGGCGGACUGGAUCUCUUCUGACGCUGAGGCGCGAAAGCGUGGGGAGCAAACAGG
This 253-nucleotide ribosomal RNA is filed under the name uncultured bacterium. RNAcentral's name for it is "partial 16S ribosomal RNA". It matches the Rfam family "Bacterial small subunit ribosomal RNA", at positions 524 to 776 of the family's 1533-position model. The record is from RNAcentral.